Non-coding RNA from Rhizobiales bacterium 65-9, 62 nucleotides. The record is from Rfam. Lineage: Bacteria; Pseudomonadati; Pseudomonadota; Alphaproteobacteria; Hyphomicrobiales.
CGGGCCGAUGGGGAUGGAGUCCCCCGAAACCGCCCGAGAGGGCUGAUGACUCCUGCCGCAGU